RNAcentral lists this transfer RNA (57 nucleotides) under Strongyloides papillosus. RNAcentral's name for it is "tRNA-Val". It matches the Rfam family "tRNA". Rfam says of the family: Transfer RNA (tRNA) molecules are approximately 80 nucleotides in length. Their secondary structure includes four short double-helical elements and three loops (D, anti-codon, and T loops). Further hydrogen bonds mediate the characteristic L-shaped molecular structure. tRNAs have two regions of fundamental functional importance: the anti-codon, which is responsible for specific mRNA codon recognition, and the 3' end, to which the tRNAs corresponding amino acid is attached (by aminoacyl-tRNA synthetases). tRNAs cope with the degeneracy of the genetic code in two manners: having more than one tRNA (with a specific anti-codon) for a particular amino acid; and 'wobble' base-pairing, i.e. permitting non-standard base-pairing at the 3rd anti-codon position. Lineage: Eukaryota; Metazoa; Nematoda; Chromadorea; Rhabditida; Strongyloididae. The record is from RNAcentral.
GGGGUUAUAGUUUAAUUAUAGAACAUCCCGUUUACACCGGGAAGGUUGUUAACCCUU